ACCCGCUGAACUUAAGCAUAUCAAUAAGCGGAGGAAAAGAAACCAACAGGGAUUGCCCUAGUAACGGCGAGUGAAGCGGCAACAGCUCAAAUUUGAAAUCUGGCUCUUUUAGAGUCCGAGUUGUAAUUUGCAGAGGGCGCUUUGGCUUUGGCAGCGGUCCAAGUUCCUUGGAACAGGACGUCACAGAGGGUGAGAAUCCCGUACGUGGUCGCUGGCUAUUGCCGUGUAAAGCCCCUUCGACGAGUCGAGUUGUUUGGGAAUGCAGCUCUAAAUGGGAGGUACAUUUCUUCUAAAGCUAAAUAUUGGCCAGAGACCGAUAGCGCACAAGUAGAGUGAUCGAAAGAUGAAAAGCACUUUGGAAAGAGAGUCAAACAGCACGUGAAAUUGUUGAAAGGGAAGCGCUUGCAGCCAGACUUGCUUACAGUUGCUCAUCCGGGCCUUUGCCCGGUGCACUCUUCUGUAGGCAGGCCAGCAUCAGUUUGGGCGGUAGGAUAAAGGUCUCUGUCACGUACCUCUCUUCGGGGAGGCCUUAUAGGGGAGACGACAUACUACCAGCCUGGACUGAGGUCCGCGCAUCUGCUAGGAUGCUGGCGUAAUGGCUGU
RNAcentral lists this ribosomal RNA (603 nucleotides) under uncultured fungus. Its description in RNAcentral is "eukaryotic LSU rRNA". It matches the Rfam family "Eukaryotic large subunit ribosomal RNA", at positions 23 to 641 of the family's 3401-position model. Lineage: Eukaryota; Fungi. The record is from RNAcentral.